This 8776-nucleotide long non-coding RNA is filed under the name Marmota monax (woodchuck). The stretch from base 3434 to 3504 matches the Rfam family "tRNA". Lineage: Eukaryota; Metazoa; Chordata; Mammalia; Rodentia; Sciuridae. The record is from RNAcentral.
GGGGAGGAGGCGAUGGGCGCACACCGAGCGGACUUGGCGGUGCCCAGAAGAGCCCGAGUCGGGUGCACGGUGGCGAGAGGGGCCGAUUCCCCUGCUGGCGACCGGGCAGCCAGCCGACUGCCUCUAAAGGCGCGGGACUCGAGGUGGGAUUUAGAGAGAAGGAAGAGGGAGGAGCGCGGUGAGAGCGUGGGGACUAGUGAGGCCGGAGCCCGGGCCGGCGCAUCCCGGCUUCGGAGCCGCAUAGCUGGUACCGAGAUCUGGCCCCCGCCCUUCUCUCCUCUUGCCGCGGAUUUUCCUCCCUGAUGCAGAGGCUGCCGCUCGCGGUCCAGAGCCCGGGAAGGUUGGGUAGUGGGAGCCAGUGCGGGAGUCGGCACCGAGGCAGCCUGGGUCGUGUGCUUUGGGGUUUGGGGAUUAGGUUUGAAGUUAUGCCCUCCCUCUUAUAGGGAAAUGAGGCGACGGAGACUUAUUUUGAUGAAUGGCAGAGAGCUGAUCUUGGAGGCUAAAUGCUGUACACAAGAUUUAAGAGGGAUUUCCAAAAAUCUGUUUUUUCUGCCUUAUUUAUUCCUCACUGGUUGGGACCCUCUCUUUUGCAACUUCUGGUGGAAUGUUAAGAGGAAGAGGCAAAGCGUGCCUGUAGGUCAGUUUAUUCUUCCAGCUCCCGUUUCUCCAGGAGGAGGCCAGCCUUUUGUAGUGAAAGGUGAGAGAGAACUGCCUUGCCAUUCCUUCAGCCACCUGAGGGCUGCUGCGUCUCAUGGUUUCAGCCCAUCUGCAAACCCUGCGCUGCGCUCCAUGGAGGGGUGAUCUUGAGCUAGUUCCUGGGUCCCUCCGCAUCCUGAGCUUUGUGCCUUGUUUUCCUUUUUUUGUGAAAAGGGGCCCAAUAACAGUGUCUGUCUGGUGGGGCUGUGGCGAUGAUGAUUCGCUCACAUUUAGUUGAUCCCUUGGAAGCGUACUUAGCACCUACUGAGCGCUCAGGUGGAUUUGGCCUGGAGGCAGCGCACCUUUCUGGCAGGUGGCCUGCCCUAGGUGAUGAGGUGGAGGUGUGCUGAAAACUUCAGGGGCAUGGGAGAGAAGAGAGAUAUUUAAAGAAGACUGAAGUAGAAGAGAAACUGAUCAAAAGGAGAGGAGGAGAGAGAAUGAGAAAAUCAGCCACUACCUAGGGAAGAGAUGUCAGAAAGAGAAAAAGGCCAAAACAAAACAACCAAGCAUUCAAAAGGCGCAUGGAUCUGUUGGCCGCCUUCAAGGACCCUGUGAGCCCCAUGGGCCUGCCCUGCCUGACCAGGAGUUUGACAGAAAAGGUUUGGUGCUUCAUGAACUGCUGUGAGCCCUUGGCCUGGCCCCAUUGCUUUUGGUUUUGAUGCUGGGGAGUGGGUGGGCACUUUGUCCUGUCUGGAAGUGUCUCCUGGGGUCAGACUUUGCCACAGUUGGCACUCCCCAGAAUGCUUGUGUUGGAAGGAGAGGGGGAAGCAGACAGUUCCAGUAUCACCAGCUGCCAUCCUUUCCAGCUGAGUGACUUCCAUCUGGACCACUCAGAUUCUCAGCACCCAGAGGUGUGACUCAUAGCAUCAUCCUUGUGACUCUGCCGGUGGUCGGCUGCUCUGCUGUCCUCACAGGGAAAGCUGAGCUGGCAGGUCUGCAUGGUUCUCUCUGCUGGCUGUGCGCCUCUGGAUUUGACAGCUGGCUGUGCACAGGGAACACGCUGUGUUUUGCCCCCUGCUGACUGCAGUCCCUGUCUCUGCUGAUCACGUGGUAGAUACUCAGUAAAGAGUUACAGGAUGAAUUAAUAAAAGAAGUGUUGUUUAUUGUGAGGAUCAAAUAAAAUAGUGCAUGGGGAAGCACUUUGAAAAAAGAGAAAAUGCUGUACUGAUAUGAGACUAUAUUACUCUAUUCUGGUAGAGUUUAUAGUCAGAAGUUCAGAUUAGGCAAAAUAAAUAGCUCAGGCCAUUCAUUCCGUUGCUCCACUUUGCAGCCUAGAACCAAAACUAACUCAGGUUUUGCCCCGGAUUCUUGGUGGGUCCCUGGAUAUCUCCACAGUGAUAUGGAAGUUUGUGAUUAAAGUGACACAGUGGUUAAGCACGUGCACUAUCACCUUAUCUGUAUGAAAGGCUGCACACCAGCAGCCUCUGUGUCCAGUCUGGUGGGUUAGCCCAGGCAUGGCCUUUCUCUCCACCCACCCUGCUUCCUUUCUGAUAGAACACUUUUCUUCCCAGGUAGCAGGACCCUCUCCUGGUCUUUUUUUGUGUGUGUGUGAGUUGUGAAAUUCCAUGCAAGUAGCUCUUUUGAUGCCCUGGACGAUUUCCAGGAGCUAGGGAAACAGGGCUUGGUGCCAGAGGCCUGUGCAUGCAUUCCUCCUUGUCACCCCCAGUGGAUCUCCCCACAGGCGCUGCCAGAAAACAACUGGUAGGAGUCCCUGGGGGGAGCACCUGCAUAGUGGGUCUCCUGGGAGCCUUGACAUUGAUUUAGUGCUCAUUGCUACCUCCCACUUGUUCAGAGCAGCAGCACAGCUCUCAGUAACAAUGGUUAAAGAAAUUGAUUGCUUCCCUUCCCUACCCCCUUCCUUGGCACUUCAGAGUGGAAAGAUCCUAAUGGGUUCUGAGCCCAUUGGGGUGAUUGUGCAGAAAAGGAAAGGGCCACCUAGCUUGUGAGAGAUGAGCUCAGAGGUGCCAGGCACAUGGAGUUCUGUGUUUUGAACCAGGCUGUACUUAGGUCCUGGGACUAUACAGACCUCUAUGUUUCCUUAGCAAAAAGAAGUUGAUCCUAUGCCCACAGAGGAAGCUGGGAGGAGAAACUGCCCGUCUACAUGCCUGUGUGUGUGUGCAUGCGUGUGUGUGUGUGCACAUGUGUGCAGGCCCCUCCUCUCUUCUCCCUACCCCCAGGCUUCCUCUGUUGAAUCCAGGAUCUCCCCUACAAUUUUCUGCAUGUUGGUGGCCCCGGGUCAUGGCAAUUGUAGAAACAGUCUUGACUUCAUUUUCCCCUCUUGAUCCACUUCACAUUUUAGUUUUCCCAGGAGAGGAAUCUGAUUGACAGGCCUCAUCCCCAGGGUCAUGGGUCACCCACCCAACCUGACCUGAAUAGGCUGCCCAGGCAGCAUGUGUCCACCCCACUGGUGAAGUCAGAGAGCCCUGCAGAAGAUGUGGCACUGUGGGGAAUGCAGGACACAUGGCACUUAAGACCCCUCUAGCCUCUAGCACUGAGAAUCCGGGGGGGCUUAGGGUUAGCAGAACUAUUCAGCAGAACUGUAAACUUGACACCGUUCGCACAGACCCAAGUUCCCACUAAACCAGCUGAUAAGUUUCAGUCAUGAUCACCGUAAUCUCUUUGUCCGAAAUGGGCUCAGGAAUGAGACUGAAUCCAUAUUUGGACCACCAAGAUAUGGAGACAAAUAUGCCUGAGUCUUUCAGGAAAAAUGUUAAGAGUAAGUCCUGGUUAGGGGGUGGGGGGUGUAGCUCAUGGUAGAGCACCUGCUUAGCAUGAUCAAGGUCCUGGGUUCAAACCUCAGCACCACCAGAAGAUAACAAAACAAAACAAACAAAAAAACACUAAGCCCUAGAAAGCUCAUUUCCAAUUUGACAUGAGCAAUAAAAUGUUUGUGGCAUAGUUUCUCCAAGUGAUAUCUUAUGUGCCUGGAGGAAGUCAAGUUGAAGACAGGUUGCUGUGGUUUGGUGGUUUAAUCGUGUCCCCCAAGGAUCCCUAUAUUAUAGGUUUAGCCAUGAGGUAGAAGUACUGAGAGGUACUAUGGACUUCAAGAGGUAGGGCUUUGUGCAAAGUCCUCAGGUCAUUGGGGGUGUGUCCUUGAACUGGGUUCUGAGCUUCUGUGUGUGCUCUGGUUGGAGAUGUGACUGCUCCUAUGUAGGCCCUGACAUGAUGCUUUGCCAUCUGCCAUCUUCCCCAGAGACUAAGCCAGUGGAGCUGCCUGUGGAGCUAAAUGAACCUUUUCACUUUGUAAGCAGCCCGUGUCAGGAUUCUGUUGUAAUAGCACAAAGCUGACUGAUACCAAAGUAGAUCCAGAAACCUGGCCACACCACACCUGAGCCUCCCUCCAGACUCCCUGUCAUAUAAGUCAAUGAAAGACCUUGUUUUAAACUAUUUUGGGUCGUGGUCCUGCUACCUGCUGCCACUCAUUUAUUUUCCUGAAGACGCCCUUCUUUCCCUCAGGUCACUCCCAAGUUCAAAACCCUUAAAACUGCAGUGGCUCCCCAUUGCCUAGCCAAGAGAAUCUGACUUUCCUGAGGUCGGCAGUUCAGAUUCUUCUUAAAGUGGCCCCAGUGUGUUUCUCACUUGUUUUCUUCUAAUACUUUUUACAAACCCUGUAUUAACAGGCCUGACUCAGCCCAAAAGCACUGGUUAAAUUCUGUGUUGUAUAUUCCUGAAAACAUAUCUCCAUCUUGCUGGGGUGCUGAAGAUUUCCUUAUCAGCCAUGAUGGGGUCUCCCCAGCCCCCCAGGGCACACAGAAGUCCCGAGACCUAGUGCAGGGCCCAGCGUGAUGGAACCUGCUUCUUAUUGUCCUCUCUACUCCUACAAGGAUGCCCACUGCCUUGGGUGGCAGAUGUAUAGGGCCGUGGCUCCUGAGCGUCCUCACCAUAGGGUCCAGCCUUCCUAGCUGGAGGGGGUUUCCUAAGCUGCCGUGAGAACUUACCACAGACCUGGUAGCCAGAAGUGGAGGAAAUCGGUCCCUCUGUAAGAGGCCAGAAGUUUGAUAUGAAGGUGUAGGCAGGGUGGGUUCCUUUGGGUUCUUAGAGAGAACCCGUCCAUGCCUCCUUCGAGUUUCUGAGCUAAUGGCAAUCCUGGGCACUCCUUGGAUUUCCUGCCCCUUGCUCCUUCAACUCUCUACAUCAGGGACACCAGACCUCCCCCUGCUCUGCCUUCUUUAAGGUCCUGGCCUUGAGCAGUGGCUUCCUCUCUUGAGCACCAGCUGAUCGCACCAUCUGGAACGUGUUGUUUCUCCUUUCUUCCUCCUGCUCUCAGGAGAGGCUCUUGCCCCUUUUCCUGUGCCACUGGGUCCAGGUUUGCCUUUCAGACGACCCAUGACGUAGGCUCUUCUUUCCGGCAGCAGUUCCUGAGGCCAGAGAAUGACUUCGGCUUGGACUUGGCCUACCCAGGAGACCAAUACAAAUGGACGUUUGGGUGAAGUGUCCCGCCAGGCCUGUUAGCCCAGGUUCCACUCACGUCGGCCAGAGGAACGCUCCCAGAUACCCACCAGUGGACUUCACAUGUGGACCACCCGUUCCCUGGCAGGACCCUCACCACCCGAACCCUGUCUGAUGCACUUCCCUCUUUUCAAGGCAGAGUGCAGGGGUCGUCCCUGUGUGGAGGCUUUGCCAUUGUCCCCUGUCCAUCCUGUCUCCUCUGCUCAUGAACCCUUCCGUCUCCCAAUCAGGUAUUACUGUGUAUUUAGUAGCUGUUUGAUUAUUAAGUUCUAUUUCCACUUAGAUGGAAGGACCUUGGAGAAGAAGUACAAUCCUUCCUUCGUCCAACAAAAAUAUGGGGAGCACCACUUUGCCAGAGGUUGUCCUAAGUGUGGGAAUGUGGAGGUGACCAUGACAGUGCCCAUCCUCAGAGAGCCCAGAGUUUGUCAGGGGAUGGCCACUCUAUCUCACUGGGCAGUGCUGUGAUAUGGUGGAGGGUAUACUGAAGCCACUGAAAGGGCUCCUUCCAGGGUCAGACACAGGACCUGUGAACGUGAGCGAGACGUGUGAGCGGAAUGUCUGCAGCACCCUCACUACACGGCUCUGGAAGCCAGGGAGCAGGCAGGGCUCUGGAAACAGCUGGAAGCACUGGACAGUUCUCCGUGGUGGCGUUGGCAGUGCCAGAUGAUCUUGGGCAUCCAAGGCGCCAGGGGAGGGAAGCUGGAAGGAGGUAGCUGCAACUUGGGAGCAUGAAGCAGAAGACAGGGCAGGUCGGGCAGUGAGACAGGCAAAUGCUCACACUUCUGUUCCCAGCAUGGCAGGCGGAGGCGAGGCUAGUGGCGCAGUCCCCAACAACCGUCUCCUGCCUCUUUCUUGCAGUGUAAUCAUGUUGGCUUUCCUUUAAACACAUGUUUUAUCUAGAGAGAGCAGAUUUUUAAUGGCCACCCAAAGUGCGAGUGAUUAGGGUGAGAGGCAGAAAGACCUUGACCCUGAAGGCGCUUCCGGCAGUGGGACCAACACCAGUGGCAUCUUUGGGGACUCUCCUGUUUUGUGAAAGGAACUGUGCAGCAGUGUUUAACCACAUACCUAGUGCACGCAGGUUUUCUGUUACUGCAACCCAAGUAAAACCGUGACUCCGGGGGAAUGGUGGAAGUCUCCUGGGAAGGAGGAGAGAGAGAGGGGUACUAUUUUUAUAUGUCACAUUUCAGUUUUUUAUGGAACACUCAUUUGCAACUCAUUCUGAUUACCAAUCUUGCAUAAAAACCUCCCCAAAAUUAGAGGCAAAAGAAAAGACACCUCUUCCUUAUGACCAUCUGCUCCAUGGGUCAGGGAUUUGGACAGAGCUCAGUAGCAUGCUGAUCUGUGUCCCAUCAUGUCUGGGUAGACUUGAAGUCGAGGGCAACUCAGGGCUGAGGGAUCUUCACUGUGUGAAGGCUGAGGCCACGGUGGGCUGGACUGAAGGCUGAGCACAGAUACAUUGACCAGAGCAUCCUACGGCCUCUCCAUGUGGCCUGGGUGUCUUGCAGCAUGAAGGCUGGACUCUGAGAAGGAGUGGCCCAACUGAGCUGGUAGCAACCGCAUGCCUUUUAUGACCUAACUCAUCAGCUAGUCGUCCCUUGGUAUCCACAGGAAUUGAUUCCAGGAAACUCCUUUAGACACUAAAAUCUGCCAGUGCUCAAAUGACAUAGUAUUGACGUAAAAUAUAUAUAUAUAUCCUGUUUGUAUUGUAUCUAGCUUACUUAGAAUACCUAAGACAAUGUAAAUGCUACGUGAAUAGUUGUUAGACUGGAUUGUUUAGGGAAUGGAUCAUUUACAGUGUGAACAGUAUAGAUGCAAUUGUUUUCUGAAUAUUUUUGAUCUGUGUUUGGUUGAAUCUGCAGAUACAGAAUCUGCAGGUGCUAAGGGCCAACCAGUAAGUAACCCUCUUACAGGAGGAUUGACAAUGUCUGUUGCUAUGUUUUGGCCACAGGCCACUGGGUUUUCAGGACUUGGGAGGCAGACUAGAUUCACAGCCAAAAGGUAGAGGUGGGAGGCUGUGGAUGGGAUAGCCUGGGACAGUGUGGCAAAUGCCUGUCCUCAGUAAAGGCUUAGAGGAUGAAUCAUUCACUCGGGAAGGGGCUUCUACAGGUGAUCUCCACCCCUGCCUAGAGCAGCCACUCUUUGAUCUGAUCUGAAUAGAAGGAUCUCGGUUGACUGAGCCCCCAGCUACCCCCUGGCAUUGGACAAGGAGCCCUCAGAGUCCUGCUUCUCAAACUUUAAUGUGCACGAGAAUGACCUCAGGAGAUUCAUUCUAAGUACAAAGCCAUGGGCUUCCUCCCAGGGAUUCUUUCCAGUGGACCUGGCAGUGUAGGGGGACAGGAAUCUGUCUUUGUAAAACUAGUUUCAGCUGUAAUAUGGCUUCAGGGGCUGGGCCACGGCGAGACAUGUCAGUGUUGUUUGUAUAAUUAGUAAAUCAAGUUAGAGCAGGAUUUCAAACUAUGUUCUGUGGGGCCUGAGGGUGCCACACGGGACACCCUUCUGCAUCAGUGGAUAUAGUGGAUAGUCAUUGGGUGCUUUAGGCCAAGCCUGGGGCUGGACAUCAGGUGGAAGACAGUAUUCAAGGUGGACACUGUGUCUGCCUGAAGAGAGCUGGCGUCCUAGCAGCCGGGGAGGAGCUGCGGCGUCAGGAGCUCAGUAAGGUCAUUAUGAAAGGGAAAGCACAGGGUGCCAUGACAUGCAAUAAGAAGGAAAGGGGGGUGCACCCAUGCCACUGUGCGCCCCCCUCACUCCACAUCAGGGCACACUCUUCCUGGGAACCAAGUCACCGAGGUAGGUGAUCCCUGAGGGUCUCUGCACCAGAACCUUUCGUCCUAUGACGUUCUGUGACUUUACCUCUGAAUAAAGUCAAAACAGGCCGAAGGCAUGACUGAAUUUAAAUUUGAGAUUGCGUGGUUAGCACCCUCAUUCUUGAAAUUGCGAGGCUCUUUAGGGAUCAAAAACAUCCUGUGUCAUGGUUUGGAGACAACUGGAAACAAGGACCUUAGCCUGGGGGACUGAGUGAGAGGUCAGGAGAAGCCAGCAAGCCAUCUGAAGCAGGAAGCCACAGGCGGGGGCUGGCCCUGGAGGGUGGGCCCGGCUGUGGCUCAGGUGCUUUGGGCUUGUGCAUCUGAGUUGAUGAGUUUUCAUCUGCAAAAUGGGCAUCAUGGUGCCCAUACCUUGAAGUCGUCUUAAGGAAAACAAUUAUAUGGAAAAGAAUUGCUAGCUCAGUGCCAGAUACUUAGCAAGCACUCAAUAAAUGAUGCCCAUUACUAAUUUAAGUAUCUUUCCUAUGCGUGUUGUACUUGUCAAUAUACCUGCAAAUGUUUUAUAAAUGAGAAUGGAAAAUUCCAUAGUUUGGGAGCUGCCCAAUGUCAGGGCCCUGCCCGUCUGUGCCUGCCUCCCCGGGUCGGGAGCCCGGGGUGGUUUUCUCCAGUGUGUGCCGCCAGGCUGGCCUCUGAGCAUUGAGUUCACCCUCUCCUCAUUUUUUCUUGCUUUGUGCAAAAGGGAGAAAGUUAUUUUUUCCAGUGGACACCAAGCAUACAUAUCCAAAUUUGGACUGCUAGGCUUCCUUGUUUUUAAAGAAUGAAGAUGGUAGCCAUGUAUGUUGUUGAAAAAAUAAAGAGGAACCCGAAAU